GACAAAUUGACAUUUUCAAAGGGCAAAGGAAUCUUCCAAUAAAAUUUUAACAUAAAAACAAAGUAGCGAAUAAAUAGAUAAUUUUGACCUAAUCAAUAUUCAUUUUAUUGCCAUUCUCUUCUCCUUAUAAAAACGAAAAAAAUAAAAUACCAUAACGCGAACCAGCCCAGCUUUUUUAGCUCCAUGUGUUGUGCCGCAGCUUAGGCAUUGCUUAGCAUUUGAAUAAUCUCCUCUUCUCUCUCUCAAUCAUUCCCCAAUUCUCAAUUCAUAAAUCCAUCCCCCAUAUCUUCUUCUCUUUCUCUGUUGUUUUCUUCGUCACUAUCAUCUUCAUCUUCAUCUUCAUCUUCAUCUCUGUUUUGUUUUUUUCUUCUAGAAAUUCGGCACACAACCCUAGGAAAUACACAUCAUAAUUGUUUGAAUGUUGUGAUCUGAAAAUUUAGUUAUAUAUAUAAAGACAUAAAGAGAGAGUCAUGUAUAGUAAUACCGCUCGCAAAUACUCUUCUUCUGCCGCUUCUUCACUCUUGAGAAGAGCCUCUUCAUCUUCUUCCGUUUCUAGACCAGUAGCUUCCUCUUCUGCUGCUACUCACGCGCCUUCGUCUUCUUCUCUCUGUAAUCAGCAGCAGCGUUUCUCCUCCACGCUCCGGUCGGUGAGGUGUUCGGUGCCGCGGUGGAGCCACGGUGUUGAUUGGAAGUCUCCGAUCAGUCUUACUGCUCAGAUCAGGACCGCCGCCCCUGCUUUCAACAGCUUCCACAAAAAGCUCUCUACCAUGGGUACUUUUGUCUUUUAAUCCUUGAUUUGUUUUCUGGGUAAUUUUGUCAAUCUGAAAAAGUAAAUCGAAAGAAUAUGCUUUUAAGUUAUAUAUAUUGACAUGUAAAAUUAUAAUUUAACAUAUUAUAACAAGUUAUUAAAUAGAAUUAAUAUAUUUUACAUCGUUAGUGCACAACACUUUAAUCCUAUUUUUAGUAGUAAUAAAUAAUACUACACAUUGUGACAAAGGUUAGUGGAACGUGGGUGGUAGGGCCGAUGAGUGGGAAGACUUAAGAAGUUGACUUAAGAUAUUUCAUUUUUAUCAUUUGUGUUUGUGGUUAGGUAUUUUCAUUAAAAAAACAUAAAAUACUAUUUAUUUUUGCAUAGUAGUGCUACUAAGAGCUGCUGUAAGUGAAUGCGAAUCAAUUCUCAGUAGAAAAGCAAGAAGAAUCUGAUUCUUUUUUGUGUUGAUGAUGGAUUCAGCUGAAAAGAACCCAUUUAAGGAAAUCCUCACUGCUCUUCCAAAGCCUGGAGGUGGUGAAUUCGGAAAGUUCUAUAGCCUACCUGCUCUCAACGAUCCCAGGAUUGGUAAACUUUAAGACCUUCUUAUACUUUCUAUUUUUAUUUUUUAGCAGACCUGAUUAUUUUCUUAUAUUGAAAUUUGAUCUGUAUCUUUCUUAUCAGUUUGAUUAUUGACUUUUUCUUGCUCUGUUGAUUUGUAUAUAACAGAGAAGCUGCCAUACUCUAUUAGGAUUCUUCUCGAAUCAGCAAUUCGUAAUUGUGACAACUUUCAAGUGAAAAAGGAAGAUGUUGAAAAGAUUAUCGACUGGGAAAAUUCUGCACCUAAGCUUGUGGAGAUACCCUUCAAGCCUGCCCGUGUGCUGCUUCAGGUACUAGUCUUUUGCAUGUCUUGAACAUUAAAAAAAAGAAUGCAGUGUGAGAUGACAGGCGGUUUUCACCCGAACAAUUUUCUUGUUUGACAGGAUUUUACUGGUGUACCCGCUGUGGUGGACCUUGCUUGCAUGCGUGAUGCCAUGAACAACCUCGGCAGUGAUUCUGACAAGAUCAAUCCAUUGGUAUGUGCUGUUUCUAGUUAGUGCAUUAUGGCAAAGUUUCUUUAACUAUGUGAAAUUGUGAAUAGAAUGCAGUAUAGUCACUUGAUGAAUAAAGCACACAAAUUUUCUGUAUGGCAGUCGUUGUCAAUACUACUGCAGUUUGACAAAAGGUAGAGGAAAACUGUCAGUUUGCGUUUAUAAUACUUUUGAUAAGUCAAAUGACUUUCAUCUAGUGAGUUGCUUAUAUUAAUCUCGUUCAUGAACAUUGAAUUGCAUUAUGCUAUUAGUGUAGUGUCACAAUAUAUUGGCUUAUUCAUCACUGACAAUUUUAUGCUUCAAUUCCUUGGUUAUAGUUCUUUUCAUAUUCCUCUCAUGAAUGAAUCUUUCUCCACUUCGGUAAUUCUCUCUCGAAUAUUAUUUCAGGUUCCUGUUGACCUAGUUAUUGAUCACUCCGUUCAAGUUGACGUGGCAAGGUCAGAAAAUGCAGUCCAGGCUAAUAUGGAGCUUGAAUUCCAAAGGAACAAGGAGAGAUUUGCCUUUCUUAAGUGGGGAUCUAAUGCUUUCCACAACAUGCUUGUUGUUCCACCUGGGUCUGGUAUUGUGCAUCAGGUAUUGGUCAUGAAAAUUGAAUGUCAAAGCUGGUUGUGCUGCUGGAUUUGUUGAAUGUGUCAUAGUUGUGCUGGGAUCUAGCUAUUUCUUGAAUCCUGAAUUUUUAACGUUUUAUUUUCUUACUUAUCUUCUGUCUUUAGCAUAAAUGCAGUGAGAUUCCUGGCUUUGCUUUCCUUAUUUAUCCUCUGAAACAACACACUUGCAAAGCUGAUAAUAGUUUUUGGCUCCAUAAUUUUAGGUCAAUCUUGAAUAUCUUGGAAGGGUUGUCUUUAAUAGGGAUGGGUUUCUCUACCCAGACAGCGUGGUCGGAACAGAUUCCCACACAACCAUGAUUGAUGGGCUAGGAGUUGCUGGCUGGGGCGUCGGAGGUAUUGAAGCUGAAGCUGCAAUGCUUGGCCAGGUAUGCAACUAUGAAUGGUGUAAUAAUCCUUCUAUCUCUUGCUGAAUCCUGGUUUAUUCGUGUGUUGUUGCAAAGAUUAGACAGCUAUGGCUUUAUGCUAAGGUGUCCCACAUUGCCCUUGUGACUGUGUUAAUGUCUGCACUUUGCCAAAUCUUUUCUAGUGGAGAAUAUCCAUUAACUUGGUGACUGGCACAUGUGGAAGUUCAUAACAUCAAUCAGCAUAUAAAGUUGCAAGAGUUUUAAGAUUUGAUGUGUCUAAGUUAUUCUCGCUUUGUUUCAAAGUAUAUGUUAACAUUGCGCUUUUCAUUCUCAAAACAAAAAUGUCAACAUUGUGUUUUUAGUUUAUUCAAAUAGUCUAUACCAAGGAAAACAUGGGACUUACAAUUACUAACUGGCAAUGCUGUUCUGACUAUCCUAUCAAUUAUAAAACAAGAAGUAAUAUGUCAGGACAUCUUUUCUCCUUAUUAGACGCUAAACAUUACAUAUUUUGAACUCUCCCCUACAUAAACGUGCUGAUGCAAAUCAAGGGAGUAGAGUUUUGUUUUUACACUUAUGCUCUAGAUUAGAGAGGAGCAUGAUAGUUGAUUACUUAGGACUUUCCCUUGCCUCAUUUAUCUGACCUUGUAGUACUUCUUUCCUUACAGAUGGGUUUUCAUUGCUUCAACUGACCAUAUCUAAUUCCAUUUCGUUGGGCUCUUCCCGAAAUUCUAUGUAUUCCUGAAAGCAUGUUUUGGUGAUUCAUGAAUUCAUCCAAUUGAAAAGGCUAUUCAUGAAUCUUCAUGUAGUUAAUGCAAUCAACUAGUUUCGUGGCUCCAUACCCUAUUUGACAAUAAUGAAAGACUGCAUUUCAUCAUUUAUUCUUGAAAAAGUUGGAAGGUGAGAUGCGAUUCUAACUUUGCCAGAAAAGAAGUGAGUUUUGGUUAUAUUUUUUCCAUUCAGCAUUUAGUACAUAUAGCUAUCUUCCAAAAAACCAGAUCAAGCCAGAAUAGGAUGUUACUUUACCUCCUCUUAGAAUAGUAUGCACUGUGUUCACUUAAUCUGAGCGGAAAAUGACAUUGCGUUUCCUGUGUGUGUGCUGCUUGCCUGUUCUUCUGUUUGUUUUAUAUAUAUGUAGAAAAAUAAUAGCUUUAGUAUGCACUGUGUUCACUUAAUCUGAGCGGAAAAUGACAUUGCGUUUCCUGUGUGUGUGCUGCUUGCCUGUUCUUCUGUUUGUUUUAUAUAUAUGUAGAAAAAUAAUAGCUUUCUAGGUAAUUUUCACUUUAAGUUGUGAGUUGUGACAAAUACUUUGAUAUUGAUUCUGAUAUUUGCACUUUGGAUAGCAAUUUUGUUAAACUUCUUCUGUAUACUGACAGCCAAUGAGCAUGGUGUUGCCUGGAGUUGUCGGGUUCAAGUUAUCAGGGAAAUUGCGGAAUGGUGUAACUGCCACUGACUUGGUCCUGACUGUCACUCAAAUGCUCAGGAAGCAUGGUGUUGUCGGAAAGUUUGUUGAAUUCUAUGGUAAAUCUAAGUUUCCUAUGCAAAUAGUUCAACCAGUGUUUAAUAGUUCCACCAGACAAGGACUUGACUGUUUGUUUUGUUUUCAUGUAGGUGAUGGAAUGGAAGGGUUAUCUUUGGCUGACAGGGCCACCAUUGCAAACAUGUCUCCUGAAUAUGGUGCAACAAUGGGUUUCUUCCCUGUAGAUCAUGUUACCCUGCAAUAUCUUAAGUUGACUGGGAGAAGUGAUGAAACAGUAAGUGUUUAGACUUUUGCUAGUGUUAAUUGAAGAUUUGAGUGUGAAAUUUCAUUUUUAUACGUGGCUAACCCCUCGACCUAAAAAUUUAGAUUGCAAUGAUAGAGGCGUAUCUCCGUGCAAAUAAGAUGUUUGUUGACUAUAAUGAGGUUAGUUUUGUUUGCUGCCUCAAUUGCGUUUACUUUAGUUUCGGUAUGAGAAUCUUGGUUGGCAUAUGAAUGAAGGUUAUGAUCUAAUCUAUUGCAUACUUGUUAUUUUUCCUUGCAAUUUCUUAAAAACUAUUGCCCUCCUUAUUUCAGCCUCAACAAGAAAAAGUGUAUUCUUCUUAUUUGGACCUAGACCUUGUGAACGUUGAACCAUGUGUGUCAGGGCCAAAGAGGUAUGUGCUCCAGCUUGCAUAAAUUCUAUAUUAAGAUGCAAAAUGUACUAUAAGGUCUAUAUAACAUGUUUGUUUUCCUUUGUAGACCUCAUGACCGUGUGCCUUUGAAAGAGAUGAAGUCUGACUGGCAUGCUUGCCUAGAUAACAAAGUUGGAUUCAAGGUGAGCGAGCUAUUCAUUUUGAUUUCUCCAUCUGUCCCAUUUUAUGUGGCAUUAUUUGAUGGGGACGUAGUUGAAGAAAGAAAGACUUUUGAAACUUGUGAUCUAAAACAAGCCAUAUACAUUUGUGUGGCUAAAAUCGUCUCAUUAAGGAUAAAAUGAGAAUUUUAAAGUUAUUAUUUCUAAAUACAGAAAUGUGUCAUUCUUUUUGGAACAUACUAACAAGGAAAGUAUGCCACUUAAAUUGGGACAGGGGGAGUACCAUUUAGUCUCCUCUUGGUUGAUCAGGUUGUAACAUAAAUUUAUGACUAUAAAGUAUCCAAGGCCAGCUUCUCAUUUCUGGAAACGCUAAUGCAACUGGUUCUACUUUGAUGCAGGGAUUUGCUGUGCCAAAAGAAGUGCAAGAUAAAGUAGCUAAGUUUGACUUCCACGGGCAACCUGCAGAGCUCAAACAUGGCAGUGUUGUGAUUGCUGCUAUCACAAGUUGCACAAAUACAUCCAAUCCCAGUGUUAUGCUAGGAGCAGCUCUUGUUGCCAAAAAGGCUUCUGAGCUGGGUCUACAUGUCAGUGCUACUCUAUAUACUUGCAUUUUUCUUUCUUCAAAGGUUUAGUCAUGCCUUCUUAAUCCUUGUUCCUGAUGUAUUUUCCAGGUUAAACCAUGGGUUAAAACAAGCCUUGCUCCAGGCUCUGGUGUUGUUACAAAAUAUUUACUCAAGAGGUAUUGAUUGAAGUUUUCUAAAAGAAAAAGUUUCUACUUUCUACUAACCCUGCCAAUUGUUAUAUGAAAGCAUUCUAAUAUGUUAUUUUCUGCAUGAAACAGUGGGCUACAGAAGUAUCUAAAUCAGCAAGGUUUCAACAUUGUUGGCUAUGGAUGCACCACUUGUAUCGGUAAUUCUGGGGACUUGGACGAAUCUGUUGCUUCUGCCAUAUCAGAGAAUGGUAAGUCCAUACAAUUGAUUUUAUUUUGUGAUUGCACUGGCUGGAGUCUGGCUAGGACAUGAUCAGUUCGCUAUAUUGUUUGACUAAUUCAAAAUGUUAUAAUGCAGACAUUGUUGCUGCUGCUGUACUCUCCGGAAAUCGAAACUUUGAGGGGCGUGUUCAUGCCCUGACAAGAGCAAACUAUCUUGCUUCACCUCCUUUGGUGGUUGCCUAUGCCCUUGCUGGCACUGUAAGUAAAUGCACUUAGAGUUGUAUAAUUAAUUAAUCCGGAGAAUUACCUUUUAACACAAUGUUAUUCUUUAUAGUAGGUGAAAGGAUGAAAGAACAUACUUCAAGUUUAUAAAAAAGGAUUAUGCUUUAUAGUAAGUGAAAGGCUGUAGAAACAUACUAGGUUUCUUGCGGUCAUAGAUGAUUUGGCAGUGGAGUGCUGAACUGGUUGGUGGGAAUGUUGAGCAAGUUUUAAGGAAUAUCAAAGCAAUUUUAAAAAAUUUAUCUUUUUAUAGCUAUGUCAAUUGGAUCUUUCAUUUAUCUUGUCUUACGAGUGUGACAUCGGAUUGGGUACUUUGGUGCGGAUUCAUCAAAAUAAACUUUAACUUAGCAAAAAAUUAUAAAGCUGUUUGGGAUACUCAUAAGCACCGUGUCAGUGACGCAGUCAUUGUCUGGUUCAUGUAACAUAGGGUUAGAGACAAUUGCUUCCGCUGAAUCAUCAAAUCAUACUCUAAAAUGAGGAUAGGGACUUUAAAGCCUAAAAGACAAAAAAAAUGUAGCUUUAAAGUGAUUAGUGUUUGAUUUCUGACAUUAAAGCUCCCUUUUUGAGUGAGAGCGCUUUCAGUGGUAGGUCAUGGUUAGCAUUCCUGUCUUGUGCAUCUUGCUUCAGGCAGGCUUAUCGGUGGCUUAACUAGAAUGUGUUCAGACAUGACUCAGCCUGGUGCAAGCUGCAUUGCUCCCAGGAGCACAAAUACAACAUAAAACAGGAUUCCAUAACUAGACACUCAAUUGAAUUUUCUUGCACAUUCUGACCUUGGUCUUGGUCUCCGAUAUUCUGAAAAAUAUUCAUGGUUGUUUACUAGGUCAAAAUUGAUUGUUGAUUAUCCUGUGUACUUAUGUCGGUGAUGGAUUUGCUUUGCAGGUUGAUAUCGACUUUGAGAAAGAUCCAAUUGGGGUGGGAAAGGAUGGUAAGGAUGUGUACUUCAGGGAUAUAUGGCCAUCAACUGAAGAAAUUGCUGAGGUAUGUAUUCAGUUAUGUGCUUAUGCACCCAUGAACAAUUAUAAACAGAGUAAAUUUACCAUGGAACUUUCAUGUUAGGUUGUUCAAUCAAGUGUAUUGCCAGACAUGUUCAAGAGUACUUAUGAAGCAAUUACAAAGGGCAAUACCAUGUGGAAUGAAUUAUCUGUACCAACAGCAAAGCUGUACUCAUGGGAUCCUAAUUCUACAUACAUUCAUGAGCCACCAUAUUUCAAGGGUAUGACCAUGGAUCCUCCUGGGCCCCAUGGAGUGAAGGAUGCCUACUGCUUGCUGAACUUUGGUGAUAGUAUUACCACGGAUCACAUUUCACCUGCUGGAAGCAUUCAUAAAGAUAGCCCAGCCGCUAGGUACCUUAUAGAGCGUGGUGUCGAUCGCAGGGACUUCAACUCAUACGGUAGCCGUCGUGGUAACGAUGAAAUUAUGGCUAGGGGUACUUUUGCCAAUAUCCGCCUUGUGAACAAGCUGUUGAAUGGGGAAGUUGGUCCAAAGACAGUCCACAUUCCCACAGGAGAAAAACUCUCUGUGUUUGAUGCUGCAAUGGUACUAUCCUUUUUUCUGUUUUUUAAUGUUCGAAAUCCUGUUUUUGUCAAAGAUACAGUUUGCAUUGUGCAUGCCUAUUAGCUACAGCAGACAAUUACUUGAGAUCUUUGCUGUUUUAUAUUAACGCUUCCUAAACACAUGAUGUCCUUAGAAAUACAAAUCUGCUGGGCAAGACACUGUUAUCUUGGCUGGAGCUGAAUAUGGAAGUGGAAGCUCCCGAGAUUGGGCUGCCAAGGGCCCAAUGUUAUUGGUGGGUUUCUUGAGCAUUGCUUCUUGACUUGGUUGAUUCUGUCUUUUUCUUUUUUGCCAUAUAAUUUCCUAACUAAAGAAUAAUUUAACAGGGAGUUAAAGCUGUAAUUGCUAAGAGCUUCGAGAGGAUUCACCGCAGCAACUUGGUAGGAAUGGGUAUCGUGCCUCUAUGUUUUAAGGCUGGGGAGGAUGCAGAUACACUUGGAUUGACAGGUCACGAGCGAUAUACCAUUGAUCUUCCAGAAAAUAUUAGUGAGAUCCGCCCAGGUCAAGAUGUUACUGUACGAACAGAAACUGGAAAAUCCUUCACUUGCACAGUGCGGUUCGACACCGAGGUGCGUCUCACAUUAUCGGUCUCUUUUGUUUUCAGUUCUUAUAUCCUGGCGUUUCUUUGUGUGAAAGAUGUCGCUGUGGCUAUUGGGUUGCAUGAUAAAGAUGCUGCCUUUUUUACGGUGUUUGAGUUUCUUCUACCUUUAUACAAGUCUUUGCCUAGAGUGCUGAAGGAAAGGCGAAGAACAAAAGGAAAAUAAAAGAAAUAUGAGCAAACAUCUUAUCAAAAUCUAGAAAUCUGAGCAAGCAUAAUAAGGAAUUAAAUUUACUCUUAAAGCCAUCUUUGCGAAAUUGGGACACUUAAAUUUGGGUCUUCUUACUGAACUUGGACGAAGGAUGUCAAUAUCUUUUCUUUUUUGGGUUAAAACAACUUGUUACAGUCGUGGAAGGCAACAGGCCCAAAUUGGAUAUAGAAGGUUCAUAGCCAACCCUAAAUAGUUUGGGAUUGAAGCGUCGUCGUAAGAUAGGAUGUCAAGAUCUAGAAUACCUAACUAAAAGGAGUAUUGAAAAUUAAGAAUCCAUGUGGACAGUAAAUCAUGAUCUACUGGAUUGUGACUUGUCACAUGGAGCUACCUGGAUAAUGAGGAUUCAUAUAGCUAAUCCAACUAGUUUGGAAUUGGGGGUGUAGUAGUAGGGAAUAGUGAUUAUCGUUAUAUGAACAGUAAAUCAUGGUGCAUCUUUUUGUAGUAAUCAAUGUAUACAUUUGAAAUUAGUGAACGAUGAAAUAGGUGAAGUACAAAAUAAGAAUGUCUUUCAUCACCCCCAAAAAGGUACUUUCGCCGAUAGUAGCUUGAAUGCUCAAAUAAGAAAUGGAAGAUCUGAUUCUGUUACCCUCUAUCAUAAAACUUUUAAAUCACAUAAGGCAAUAUGAUAUGAUAUGAUCUCCAUAUAGUUCUGCAUGCAUUGUUUGAUGUAGAAUAAACUGGCACAACAGUGCGAGAUCUCCUAUAUAAGUUGUUCUUCACCAUUCAUUAGUUUUUGGUAAGAAUUGAUAUUUUAAGAGCUUCUUCUAUCUUGUGCAGGUGGAGUUGGCUUAUUUCAACCAUGGAGGUAUUCUGCCAUAUGUCAUUCGUCAGUUGACUAAGCAAUAAGGGACCGUUUUGAUAAUUUGGCCACCUUCACGAGCUGCUGCUUAAUUGCGGGAAGAUGACAGCAGAAAGAGAGAGCUUCUCAAUAGAGAAUCUUGAGAAGGGAAUAAAGGAUUUUAAAACUUUUUAUGUCCCUGUUGUCGGGCAAAGUGUUGUUUAUUUACUUCGGGAAGCACUGAAAAUGGCAAUCUUUUGCCAACUGAUAGCAACAUACCAUUUUUUGGUAAUAAAAUUUUUAUAUUAUGAUUGUGUUUUAGCAAGGAUUAAUUGAGGCUUCUUGGUGAGAGUCAAAGGUACUUUUCGUUGGUUUAAUUUUCUGUUUAUUUUUUGGGGUCUGUUCUUUAGUUUUUUGAAAUUUUUGGGUUUUCACAUUUCCUUUACUUAAUUUUAAUGGUAGCUGUUGCUUUAAUGCUUAUCUGAAUGGGUCUGUGAAUAAGAUCGUUAAUCCCAAGUUGUACAUUAGAGCAAGUGAUUAUUUACAAGGUAAACGAUCAUGCCACUCCGCCUCCAAGUAAUCUGUGGGAUGUUAUUUGGUACCACUUAACAAUUUCAUCUUUUUUUAUACGUAUUAUAUAUAAUAUUCCCUUAAAAAGUUUAUAUGCAUUCCUUAAAAAUAAUACAAAGUAAAUAGUGAUUUCUAAAAGAAGUUGUGUCUCGAACGCUUUUGCGGAAUCUAGGAUACAACGGCGCUCUCGGUCUCACAAUAUUCAAAAUUCUUUACAGAGAUGAAAAACACAUUGUAAUUCAGAGUUCAAUUAAUAAGGACCUACUUUGAGUUGAUAGAUAUAAUCAAAUUAUAUUAUUAAUUAAUGAGGCUGGAGCUUCUUUUUUCCUUCCUUUUUAAUGUUUUCCGGGGAAGCAGUGGGGGUUGAAGAUGGUGAUAGAGAAAUCUGUUUCAAUUUCUUUUAUUUUUUCCCCUGAUUGUGAUCAAGGAGGGCAUAUACUACGAUAAUGUAAAAUUUGGUGAGAUCAGUUUAAUACCAACCGGAGUUAACAGGGAAAUAAGUUCCUCUUUGCACAAACCUGUAAUAUACUUUAUUACAAUUUGCAAAUUUAUCUUUUCCGCUGAAAUGUCGCCGAAGGGACAGCUCUAUACAAUUCGCUAGAAAAUUAAGAGUCUUAAGUUGAAUAAGGGUGAAUUAGUUAAUCCUCGUUGAUUUGGGAGGAUUUCCGAAUAUCUGUUCUGCUUUUAGGAUUUCAAACAUCUGUACACACGGUUUUUUUUUUUUGUUGGUCAUAAGGUUUUUUUUUCUUCUCAAAGUUAAAGAUGUUUGGCAAGUUUUUAGAAUGAAAAAAAAUAAUUUUAAGCAGAAGUAAAAGCAUUUUUGAGAAAUAGAAAAAAAUAAUUUCAAUCCAAAAGUACUUUUUGAAAAGUAUUUUUGACAAAGAUACACUUAGAAUCACUUUUUAAAAGCUUGACCAAAUAGUAAUCGUUGCUCAUAAGUGGCAAAUAAAUAAGUCUAACACCUACAUUUUUGAAAUGUACUUCAAAAAAAAAUACUUUUCAAAUUUAGCUUCAUUUUAGAAGCUUGACCCACAUAUUUUCAACAAGAGGUACUUGGCAAGAUUUUUCGAUCUGUACAGAAAAAACAUGUAAACAUUCCAAAAAUUGCUAUAAAUUCGUAAACUGCCUUUCUGAAAAGUAGUAUGGUCUCUUUUCUUGUGUUAUUUCUUAUCUGUCAGCUUCAAUCAUUCCCUCUAUGGUAGAUUUUCCAAGAACCAUAGUAAGCCCCCAAGUAAGCACAAGGAAAACUCUCGGCUACAGAUACUCGACUUCACAAAAUUGUCUUCAAAAUUUAUAACAAAGGGUUCAUUUUAUGAUCGAAUAUAUAAUUGUAUACGGUCGAAAUCGGGCAUACCCAAUUUCGUUGGCAGGGGAGUUGCCUCGAGGGUAACCUCAUAAUAGAUCGGGCUCGACCUCGAAGAUAGAACAUCAAGCCUGGAGAUCGAAGUGUUCAUUGAGAUUGAGGCCAUCAACAAUCGAGAUCAAGCAUGACUGACUUCGAGUAAGGCGUAAUAACGGAAUGGCGAGAUAUCAGUAACCGGUCGAAGAUCACGGCGAAAAUUUCGGAAUAGAUCAAAUUAAAGCGGUUAUUAGUGCAAAUCAUGGGAUCUACUUCCGUUAUUAGAGUUGUACCUUAUUUAGGAUUGCUCUAUUAUAUAAAGAGGGAUUCCAUUCACUUGUAGGGAGGACAAUCAUUAUUCACUCAUAAGAAUAUACACAUACGCUGCUUUCUUUGUUUUACUUACCGUUCAUCGCUGUUUGUUCCAUCCUCUACUGUUCUUAUUAACUAACUUCGAGACUAUCUCGAAUCGAGGUCGAAGCAUUGUUUGCAGACCGGUUUGAUUUAUUUUAUUGUCUAAUUUAUCUAUUUAAUUCGUUGUUUAUCAAUUGGUACUUGUUUAAAUCACAUAUCCUUAAAACCACAAUAUAAGUUUAAUUGUUACUCAAUUUUUAGGGUAAACAGUUUGGCGCCCACCGUGGGGCUAAGGAUAAUAGUGAUUGUUCAGUACUGAUUCUGGUAAACACAUUAUUUUAUGCUUGUUCUUGUCAAGUAUCUUUGCUUUCAGGUUAAAACAUGUCAAACUCACAAAACGCAUCCACACACGGUGACAAUGGCCUCAGAUUCCACUGUCUUAAGUUGAGCGUCAACUCCAAAGUAUGAAGGAGGAGAACUUGGCCCGAGCCACAUCUUUCUCCGAGGCGAGACGGUCCAUGUUCUGCUUCCACCUCAAAGUCUCUGCCUCUUUCAUCUUGGCCUCCUCACGAAGCUGCUCAACCAAUUCGGCCUUCUGCUGAACCUGCAGGAUCAAAGUGUUAGUCGCCAAUAUCAAGUUAACGCAUAACAAGCUCCCAAAAUUUACAUUACCCGAUUCAAUGAGCUCGGUCUAAUCUUGAUGAGCUCUUGUCAGCUCGGCUCGAAUACUCAUGAUCUCCUCUUCUUUUUGCAUAACGAGGAGUUUGAGGGCGUCUCUCUCCUUCGUAAGCUUUUUGAGAUCAGCCUCACAUCGGGCCAGCUUAGCUCGGUAUUUAGAGGACGCUUCUCGAUGGAGCGUCGUAGCCUGUACAGAAAAGGAAGAAAAUCACACAUAGAGAAAUAAGAACAAACGCAAGCAUGGUAACAUGGGCUAAAACUCACUUGGUUCAGAAGCCGCUGAGCCUCAUAAAAAAUGAGUGAUGCGUCUAGGUCGGGAACAUCAUCGACCCCCGCGAAGCAGCGACGAAAUAUAUCAUCCCCUUCGGGGGCCGUCCCCACAUCGGGGGUCCCCAUGGACCGGGCAUCCCGAAACUGUCCCUUAGAGAACGUGGGUCCGGGCGGAGAAUCAUCAAUGUUAAUUGCCCCGAGCGAGUCACUUGGGGCAUUCUCUUCUCUUUGAAGGGCCUCAGAACUAGACCCUUCAGGCACAUCCGCCGGUUGCUCAUCAUGGCAGGAGGCAUCAUCAACACCCGAUGACUCGGGGACUCGGCUCGGACCUUCCUCCGAGAUCACCUCGGUCUGCGACUGAACCUCCUCGACCGUCACCGGCUCAGCAGUUCUCGAAGAUUCGAUGCCUUCCCUCUUCCGAGCCACCAGCAGGCAUCGGCAUCUUCUCCCUCCUCGUCUUCCUCUCGUAGCAUUUGGACUACAUCGACAAAUAGAAUGGCGAGAUCAGUCUUCGACUUUUGAGCCCUGCUUUUCCUGGGAUUUGGGGUAUCUGGAGGCGAGGCCCUUCUCCUUUUCUUGUCUUUGGUCGGCUUCGAGACCUCCUCUUCCUC
This 13228-nucleotide long non-coding RNA is filed under the name Nicotiana tabacum (common tobacco). Its description in RNAcentral is "long non-coding RNA (NTAB_LNC015454)". Lineage: Eukaryota; Viridiplantae; Streptophyta; Magnoliopsida; Solanales; Solanaceae. The record is from RNAcentral.